GCAGAAGGCUGGAUGGCCGCGGGGGGCGCAAGUCCCGCGAGGAAAGUCCGGACUCCAUGAAGCAGCGGUGCCGGGUAACGCCCGGGCGGGGGAACCCGACGGAAAGCGCCACAGAAAACAGACCGCCAGCCCCCGGGCUGGUAAGGGUGAAACGGUGGGGUAAGAGCCCACCGCGCCCCUGGCAACAGGGGCGGCACGGCAAGCCCCACCGGGAGCAAUGCCAAAUAGGGUCCCCGCGCGGGCAGGUUCCGGUUUCCGGAAAACCGCCGCUAGGUUCGCUUCAGCCGAGAGGGACCGGGUUGGCAGCUUGAGCGGCGCAGCAAUGCGCCGCCUAGAUGAAUGGCCAUCGAUCCCUGCCUUACGGGGCAGGGGGGACAGGAUCCGGCUUACAGGCCUUCUGUGCAU
This 405-nucleotide RNase P RNA is filed under the name Leisingera sp. ANG-M1. Its description in RNAcentral is "bacterial RNase P". It matches the Rfam family "Bacterial RNase P class A". From Rfam's summary of the family: Ribonuclease P (RNase P) is a ubiquitous endoribonuclease, found in archaea, bacteria and eukarya as well as chloroplasts and mitochondria. Its best characterised activity is the generation of mature 5'-ends of tRNAs by cleaving the 5'-leader elements of precursor-tRNAs. Lineage: Bacteria; Pseudomonadati; Pseudomonadota; Alphaproteobacteria; Rhodobacterales; Roseobacteraceae. The record is from RNAcentral.